UCCCUAUGGGGUGCAGCAGGCGCGAAACCUCCACAAUGCGCGAAAGCGUGAUGGGGUUAGCCCGAGUGCUAUCCGAAAAGGAUGGCUUUUCCUUGGCGUAAAAACCCAGGGGAAUAAAGGGGGGGCAAGACUGGUGUCAGCCGCCGCGGUAAUACCAGCUCCCUGAGUGGUAAGGACGAUUAUUUGGCUUAAAGCGUCCGUAGCCGGCUUAGUGAGUCUUUUGUUAAAUCCAAUGAUUUAAUCAUUGAACUGCAAGAGAUACUGCUAUGCUAGAGGACGGGAGAGGUCGACGGUAGUCCAGGGGUAGGGGUGAAAUCCUAUAAUCCUUGGAGGACCACCAGUGGCGAAGGCGGUCGACUAGAACGUGCCUGACGGUGAGGGACGAAAGCUGGGGGAGCGAACCGGAUUAGAUACCCGGGUAGUCCCAGCUGUAAACGAUGCGGGCUAGGUGUAGGGGCAGCUACGAGCUGCUUUUGUGCCGCAGAGAAAUUGUUAAGCCCGCCGCCUGGGGAGUACGAUCGCAAGAUUGAAACUUAAAGGAAUUGGCGGGGGAGCACCACAAGGGGUGAAGGCUGCGGUUUAAUUGGAUUCAACGCCGGAA
This 601-nucleotide ribosomal RNA is filed under the name uncultured archaeon. RNAcentral's name for it is "bacterial SSU rRNA". It matches the Rfam family "Archaeal small subunit ribosomal RNA", at positions 319 to 923 of the family's 1478-position model. The record is from RNAcentral.